RNAcentral lists this ribosomal RNA (253 nucleotides) under uncultured bacterium. Its description in RNAcentral is "partial 16S ribosomal RNA". It matches the Rfam family "Bacterial small subunit ribosomal RNA", at positions 524 to 776 of the family's 1533-position model. The record is from RNAcentral.
UACGGAGGGUGCAAGCGUUGUCCGGAUUUAUUGGGUUUAGAGGGUGCGUAGGCGGUCUGGUAAGUCGGAGAUGAAAGCCCGGGGCUCAACCGUGGAACUGUCGUCGAUACUGUCGGACUUGAGUAUGUUGGAGGCUGGCGGAAUGGGCGGUGUAGCGGUGAAAUGCAUAGAUACCGUCCAGAACCCCGAUUGCGAAGGCAGCCGGCUGUGCCAUUACUGACGCUGAGGCACGAAAGCGUGGGGAGCGAACAGG